GUGCACCAGGCGAGAAACCUCCGCAAUGCGGGAAACCGCGACGGGGACCCCGAGUGCCGUGGCAACGCCACGGCUUUUCCGGAGUGUAAAAGCUCCGGGAAUAAGGGCUGGGCAAGGCCGGUGGCAGCCGCCGCGGUAAUACCGGCGGCCCGAGUGGUGGCCGCUAUUAUUGGGCCUAAAGCGUCCGUAGCCGGGCCCGUAAGUCCCUGGCGAAAUCCCACGGCUCAACCGUGGGGCUUGCUGGGGAUACUGCGGGUCUUGGGACCGGGAGAGGCGGGGGGUACCCCUGGGGUAGGGGUGAAAUCCUAUAAUCCCAGGGGGACCGCCAGUGGCGAAGGCGCCCCGCUGGAACGGGUCCGACGGUGAGGGACGAAGGCCAGGGGAGCAAACC
This 391-nucleotide ribosomal RNA is filed under the name uncultured microorganism. Its description in RNAcentral is "bacterial SSU rRNA". It matches the Rfam family "Archaeal small subunit ribosomal RNA", at positions 330 to 725 of the family's 1478-position model. The record is from RNAcentral.